Tachyglossus aculeatus (Australian echidna) is the source of this 550-nucleotide long non-coding RNA. RefSeq lists it as uncharacterized. The transcript has 4 exons. NCBI's taxonomy places the organism in Eukaryota, Metazoa, Chordata, Mammalia, Monotremata, Tachyglossidae. The record is from RefSeq and is a predicted model, not a curated record.
CAGCUGCAAAGUCUCACCGGGCUUUUGAUCCGAGAAUACUAUUGAUGAAAAAUAAAGUGCUUCAACAAGAACAGAGUGACUACAGUCCCUGACAAGUGUGAGAUUCACCAUCUGCAGUUUGAUACUAGAAAGUCGCUGGCUGACUCGCCGCCCCUGUUCUCAAUAAGAAUGGCCGGAAGCGAAACAGUAGAAGGCGGCUGCUGUGCCUGGAAGAGAAUUCGAAUAGCAGCCAGACCUGAAAUCUGCUUGGAGUCAACAGGAACCACAAUUGGAACUUCUCUAACUCUCCAGAGUGAGCAUUGCUUCAGCAGGAAACACAGCCUGAAGGAGAUGGCUACAUUAAGGAGUCCUGUACACCGAUACCUGUGCUGCAGGCGAUUAUGAACCAUAUCAUGGAAUUGCCACCUGACAACCCGAAGGAUAUCAAGGUAAUGGAGCAACUUGCACCUCUGAAUUCCCACACACAAACAAACCUUUCUGCUGGUGGCUCAAUUUCAAAUGCUGUCAUUGAAUUCUGCUACCUGGGAAUCCCACUGUCAAUAAUGCAAGA